AUCACAAUACAAGCUCUGAUCUAAAACUCAAUGAAAGUCUUUCCACUGACAUUAAAGCCUGUGAGGUGCCCCGAUACUACAGCAGUGGGGACCAUGUGAGUAUGAUGGAGACAGCCAGAUGUCAGUGGGAUUUGGAUCAGGCCUACAGAGAAGUCGGUUUCUCAGAUGCCCCUCUGCCUCUCUCAGCAGCUGCACCAGCAAACACGGGAAGAGUGAACAGAGCCAGAUUCAGCCUGGUGCCCAACACCAUCCGCCUUGGCUUAGCCAUCCUGGUUCUCUGUGUAUUGGGGCUGAUUGUGGGAGAGGCAGUUUACAAGCCAGCCGGCUGCUCCCUGCACCACCUGGAGGAAAGCCAAGAGAGGAGCUGGAAACUCUGGACUGAGCCUCCACAUGCCUGGAUCUGCAGCACUGAAAAUCCCCCAGCGGUCUAGUCUUGUGUCCCAUGGCCAACGCAGGAUGCUUCCAGGCUCUUUCCCACGAGGUCAGAUACGACCCCAGCUCUGGAGGGGUGCCCCAUUAUUGACAGAAGAACUCCGGACCAGGUUUACAAGGGUCCAGCACUCACCAUUGGGGAUGGAGUUUUCAGUUCCCAAUUAGGCACUUACGUAAGUGGGCCAAGAUUUUCCAGAGGUCUCAGUGCCCAUCAUGCACCCAACGCGCUGAGCCCUUUAGACGCUCUUGCCCCGAUGGUGGGAGCCGAGCCCUUCUGACAGUUCCAGCCCUCUACAGGUGACAGCUGCUUAUAUGGGUCAGUUUCUACCUACUGGUGAAAGAAGAACUCUUUACCUCUGCCCACUGCACAAAUAUUGUCAACAGUCCUAAAGAUCCAGCUUAGGGUUGCCAGUUUUGGUUGGACAUGUUCCUGGAGAUUUCAUCACCUGACAUAAUCUUUAAUUAAAGACUGCUCUUUAAUUUCCUGGCGACUCCAGGACAAUCCUGCAGGGUUGGCAACCCUAAUCCACCAGCAUCUGACUUCUGCAGCAGUGAGUUCCACAGGUUGUGUAUAUGUUGCCCAAAGUAGUUCCUUGUGUAGGUUCCAAAUUAAUGGCCCAUUCUUUUCAUCUGCUUAUCAGCACUGGAGACAAGAGUCUUUCCAGGCUGUAAUCCAGUGGUUCUUUCAACCUUUCCAGACCACUGUACCUCUUUCAGGAGGCUGAUUAGUCUUGCGUACCUCCAGGUUUAAUCUCACUUAAAAACAACUUGCUUACAAAAUCAGAC
Molecule: long non-coding RNA, 1218 nt
Organism: Gopherus flavomarginatus (Mexican gopher tortoise)
Lineage: Eukaryota; Metazoa; Chordata; Testudines; Testudinidae
Exons: 3
Source: RefSeq, a predicted model, not a curated record